Molecule: long non-coding RNA, 1719 nt
Organism: Equus caballus (horse)
Lineage: Eukaryota; Metazoa; Chordata; Mammalia; Perissodactyla; Equidae
Source: Ensembl
AUGCUGGUAUAUAUUAUUUAAUUUUUAAAUUGCAUAUUGGAAAAGAAUUCUGGUGGCUACCUUGAGAGAGAACUGCCAGCAGAUGAUUGUUCUCAUCCUCGUGUCGUUCUGGGGACUGUCUCUAAGGCUGUGUGGUGCAUGUGCUCUUGCUUCUUCUCACCUCCCCCUGCCCACCUGGAUGAUAUGUUGCUUCUUCAAUGGACCCUCCUGACAGUAUACACUCUUCCUUGUCUGUAACCUCCAGCCCUUGAUAGUAAUAGCACUUAUCACCAUGAGCCACUCCAAGCAGGGACACUGUAUCUCAUCAAAGAACCUUACAUAGUAAGGCUCAAAUCAUGCUUGGCUGGAUGGAUGUUCUUGAUGAGAGAGUGCCACUAAGGAAACCUUGUGUUAAGGUAAGUAUUUUGGCAGCAGUGUGAAAUAUGACUGAAAGGAAAGGAAUACAGUGACCAUUGUUAGGAAUACUGGCAAGGAUGAUGAAAUUUUGUAGAAAGCAUCAUCCAGUCAUGAGGGGGUGGUGAGCUCCUGGAGGUAGGUGGUAGUAAUGACAAUGGAAAGAGCAGACAUGAGGCAUUUUAGGCAAGGAACUAUGGACCUUGGUGAAAGAUGGUCUAGGAGGAGAAAGAGUAGGCAAAAUUUAAAAUGUUUUCAAGCUUGUAAUUUAGAAACACAUGCAGAGUCAGCUGCGUAAAGCGAUAGAUUGACAAGGAAGAGACCUAAAAAGUAAAAAAAGGAAAAAAAUCAAAAAGUUGAGUGUUGGGAAAAUCUCUACUUCUGGAAAAGGGGUACAGAAAAGGAGAAAGAGUAAAAAUGGUUAAUGAACUAGAAAGGUAAUCAGAAAUUGCAGUAUCCCGAGACCUCUGGGAACAGGGUUUAAAAGAACGAAGAUUGUUUCAAGGAUUUUGAAGAUCAGUCAAUGCUCUCUCAAAAGGCAAAGAAAAAUGAAGGAGUAAAAGGACUGCAAAAGCAAUUGUUUGGUUUGUCGAGAAGACCGCUUUCAGCGUUAGCAUUGACAGCCUCAGAAGUAGCAGAAUGGUGGAAAGCCACUGGACCAUGACUCAAUGGAUCCAGUUCAAAUUCUUGUGCCACUGUUGGCUGUGUUGCCUUGGCUAUAUGUCUUAAUCUCCCAGAAGCUCAGUUUCUUCUUCUAUAAAGUGGAGAUAAUUCUUGUCCUAGUUACUUCACAGGGUUAUUGUGAGGUUCAAAAUACUUAUGAAAGUAUUUUGUAAAUUAAGUUUUGUAUGAAUGUAACACAUUUCCAUUAUUACAGUCAUAAUUGGGGCUAAAUGGUAGGCAAGGUGUAGGAGGGUUAAUGUAAAGAAAGGUAAAGAAUAAGAGGGAAAAAAAGGACUGAUUAGCAGCAGCUAGAAGAAAGAACAGGGUAAAAUGAAGCAUUUGUUUACUUUUGUUUGAAGGCAGCGAAACUGGGCGUGGCUGAAGAUAGAAGGGAAGACAUUCAAUGUGGAGGUGGGGUAACUGUGGGAGUAGGGCCCGUGGUAAAUAAAGUCCUUGAUCUUCAGACAUAAGAACAGAAACCUCUUCCUCUGAGACUGGUAGGAAAGUUGAGACCCAAAUUUAGAGACAGGGACAUGUCAGGAUGAAGUGGCGUAAAUGAAGUUGCUCCUAUGGGACAUUCCAACAGUGUGAUCAAAGGAUAAGGGGAGACUAUCCAAGGAGGGCUAGAGAGAGUGAUGGGAUGUAGGAGGGGAGCUAGAAGGC